CUCAGCUGGAGGCUCAACUCACACGACAAGCUGCUGCAAAUUUUCUCCCUUUCUCUCGGCUCGCACACGGACUGGAUGGUUGCAGCUGCUCUUGGUUGGGUGCAGUGGGUCACGGUUGGUGGAGGUGAAUUGCAGCUGGUUAAAGUGAAGGUGGAGAGUGCAGCAGCAGCUCACGCACGGUCUCUCUCCUUUCACUCUAGCUUACGGCAGAAUUGAAGAUGGAAGCUUACUCUCUCGGACAGCACCAAUUUUCUGAUCGCAUGACUUCCUUUCUUUUCUCUCUUCGAUAUUCACAAGGUGAAGAAUGGAGUGGGUUGUUGUUGUGAGUUGAGGUGCGGUUGUGGAGAGAUAGAGUGUUUGAGAGGAUGGUUUGCUGAAAUGGAGAAGUUGCGUGGUUGAGAGGAGCAAAGAAAAUGACAUCCGGCAGAGAAUGGGAUUGGGUGAUCUAAAGGUUGGCCAAUGGAGCUUCGGUGGUUGCAUGGUAAAUCCGAGAUGGUUGAGGGCCAAUUUGGUCUAUUCACAAAUCAUUCGAAUUUCCACUUAAACUCUCAUUCAUAAACUAACUCCGAGAUUUUACUCCAAAUAAAAUUCGAUAGCCUACUAGUGUACUAAUCUCGCGAAAAAAAAUUCAAUUAUCGAGAUUUAACGUCCUAAGUAUACUUGGUGUACUUGUAACGAUUUUGUCUAAAAUUUAUCGAUUGCACCUUAAUACUAAGGUUCCUAUUAACAUUUAACAUUCUUGCUUUAUUAAUUAAACUAAUAAAAUCAAGGGUGACCUUAAUAUAUAACUCUAACAUUCUUAAUAUUCAUUUAUCUUAACAGAAAACCAAGUGGUUUAAUAUUGUUGCUCCAUAAUAUUAUUUAUCGCAUAAAAAAAAUUGUUUAAGAAGGUAAAGAUAGUUUUCUAUUGGUUUCUAACUAACAUGGAAAAUCAACAUUUAAUCUUUGUACAUGUUAGGCAUCUACAUGCUUCAAAACGAGUGUUUUUCCAUGUUUAUUUUAUUAUUUAUUUUCAUAACAAUAAUUCUAACUAGUACUAAUAUUUAAUGGGGUAGGUGAUACAAAUUCCAAGGUAUUACUAGUUUAUUUGUUAACGUAAAGAAAUAAUUAAACAUGUAUUUUAAUAAAUAAAAGAAAGUGGAUCAUGUGUGAAAUUUUAAUUUAAGGAAUAAAAUUUUCAAGCUCUCACUCGAAAUUCUUGCAGUUAUCUUAGGUAAAUCAGGAUAUUUCUAAAUUCUCAAUUUUUAUAUAACGAUUCAAUUAGGCUUUUAAUUUAACCACUUAUUCGUUAUAUGUAAUUUUUCGAAUCGAUUAUUAACUGCAGUCGCGUAUUUACUAUUUUCACUUAACGAGCCUACAGAAAUUAAAUUUCGAAACGAAACGCUUUAAAAAUAUAACUAAGCUAUGGAUAUAUUUAAUUAAACCUAAAAAUGUUAGAAAAUAAUAAUCGGAGAGAUCGGGUGAGUAAAUACUUAUUUGAGCCAGCAAAAUAAAUGAAGUAAGCAAAAUUUUCGGGUUCUUACAUCUAUCCCGUUUAAAUUUCUGUCCGGGUCUAUCCCGUGGGUCUAUCCCAUUUAAAUUUCUGUCAGAGUCUAUCCCGUGGGUCUAUCCUAUUUACAUUUCUGUCCGGGUCUAUCCCAUUUAAAUUUCUGUUCGGGUCUAUCCCGUGGGUCUAUCCCAUUUACAUUUCUGUCCGGGUCUAUCCCAUUUAAAUUUCUGUCCUGGUCUAUCCCGUGGGUCUAUCCCAUUUACAUUUCUGUCUGGGUCUAUCCCAUUUAAAUUUCUGUCUGGGUCUAUCCCAUUAAAAUUUCUGUCCGGGUCUAUCCCGUGGGUCUAUCCCAUUUAAAUUUCUGUUCGGGUCAGUCCCGUUUAAAUUUCUGUUCGGGUCAGUCCCGUUUAAAUUCCUGUUCGGGUCAGUCCCGUUUUAAAUUUCUAUUCGAGUCAGUCCCGCUUAAAUUUUCUGUUUAAUUUUCUUGUCUGGGUCAGUCCCAUUUCACAGUUUGAUAAAGGAGUCAGUCCCCGUUUCUAAAGUGUCCAUUUGUACGAGACAUUUUCACCGCCAAAUAACACCGGUAAGUAUUUGGUGUCUAUUUCUUUGUCUCAAGUUUUUCCAAAACUCAGACAAAGAGGGGCAAACUGUAGACACCAAAUUUUUAAGGAAUUUUGUUUACUAUUAUUUCUAUUAUUUCUAUUUUGAUUAAUUUCAUUUUAUUUUUAUUUUUGUUUUUCAUUUUAUCAUUUAAUUAAACUUUAAUCAUUUAGUUUUUAAUUUAAUUUGUUUCGAUGUUAGGAUUUUACUUUAUCUUAUUUUAUUUUAUUUUUUGCACAUAAGCCUAUUUUUGGGAGGAUGAGAUCUUAGCCUUUGAUCUUAGGUUUAGUUUUUCUUUGGAGUGCCUUAAAAGAUGAAAGAGCCGCAAACAAGGGGAGGCUAGGAGGGGUGGACGAAGGAAAAAAAUGAAAGAAAAGAGCCUGGUGGGAGGCCUAAGGAAAGGAGAAAAAGGAUAGCCGACAAAGUGAAAAAAGGGAGAGAAGGUUUCGGUUGGGCUUAUGGGUAAAGAAAACAGCACAAGAACAGAGAGGAGAAAGGCUUCAGCGAAAAAAAAAACUUGAGGAAAUCAGAGAAAAAACAGGGAAGGAAGCUUAGGGCCGAGAGAGAGAGAUCUGGGUGAAGUUGUUGGGACUUGAGGACGGCUGAGAAAAAAUCAAUCAAGAGGAGGGGUGCCGGAAGCUAGAAAAUUGGGAAGCGUAUGAUGGAAAAGAAAAAGAGUGACGGGGGUUCGAGAAAAAGGUUUUUGUUCGGCAGAGGAGAAGGAGAGAACUGAGAGAGCUCUCGGAUGUGAAGGAAAAUUGGAAGGGCUUCAAUAAACAAAAUCAGGAAGAAAAAGGAAAUGGGAACAGCGGCUAAGGCAGCUGAAAGGGAGAAGGCCGGGAGGUUUAGUUGAAAGAAACCUGGGGGAGAAAGGGAACAGCCGAGAGCUUUAGGAGUGACAGCCGAAAUCUGAAACAAGAAAAGAAACCUACGAAGAGAAAUAGGGAGAGAGGUUGACAGCUAGAAUCUGGGGUUGAGGUUUUGGAAAAGGGAAAACCGACAGAAAAAAAAGGGGGCCGAAAAAGAAAGAGAGCCGCGGAUGCGGCGAACGGCAAGAAAAACAGAGGCGGCUUCGUCAAGGUCGAAGGAAAAACAGAGGGAAAAAAAGGCAACGGGCAAAUCUGGCCUUUGGAGGGGGUGAACUUCGGGGUCAGACGAGAGAGAGCAAGAGUAGGGAAGAUCUGGAAAAAUAGAAAAAAAACAAAAACGAAAGUGGAAAAGAGAAAAUCAGGAGCGGCGGAACAAGGGGAGCCAAGGAAAAACAGAGAGGGCCGCAACUGCGGUCAAAAACAGGGGAAAAAACAGUCGGCUGAACUCGAAUCUCGCCUCCUCGUCAUCGUCAUCGACCUCCUCCUCCGUCGCAACCUCUGCAGCGAUUGCUAAGAAGUAGCCUCCAACUGAUGAACUGUUGAUUCUCGUUCCAAGUCAGCCAUUGCAGCGCCAAGAACCAGAGCUGCCACCACCGCUGGAACCCCCGUCUUCGUUAUCGGCGAAAGUUUGCCAAGCAGAGCACUGUAAGCUGCCUUUGUUCUUUAAGAUUUCCGUUUUCUUUUUCAAGUUUUGAUACAGAUUCCCCGUGGUUUUGCUUUAGUGCAAUUUUUCCUGUUAAAUUGUCUGAAUUUGUCGAACAUACAUGUAUUGAUUAGAUUUAAUUUUCUUGGGUUGCUGAUAAAGUUUUGGACUGAUUUCCUUGGUUUUUGACAAAUUUCUGGGUUAGUCAUGCUUCAAUUUGAGCAGAAAUCUGGUAGGAUUUUGAUGCCUACAACCUGUUUGAUGAAAUGCCCAACUAAGUGUUCUAAUUAAAGGAUAAUUAGUCUGCAUUUUUGCGUGUGAAGAAAUUGAAUAAGUUAGCAAGUUCAUUUUUUUUGCCUUUGAGAAAAUUCUGAUGAAUCGAUGUUUUGCAUCUUCUUGUUUUCUUGCCUGGAUACUCUGUGUUGGGAUUACUAGUGAUAGACAAUUAUGCUUGAGUUAUGAUAAAGUUGAGGACUUGGAAUUCAUAUGAGUUGGGUGGACUGAUCACGAUGUACUCAUUUCCAUUGCUGUGCAUGGUCACCAUUUUCGGCUUGCAGCCGGAAAAUUACAGAAUGUGGUUUUGAUGUUGGCAUGCUCUUUUGUCUGACUUCUGGGUUUAAAUUUAGAGGUUGCAUGUUGCAAAGUAAAGGUAUAGGUAGUAGCUUUGUUUGUUCAAGAUUAAGCUAGAUUUGAUUGUGUUUGUGAGUUGGGUUUGUGAAUUGCUAAGUUGCAGAAGCUUUUGUCUAAAUGAGAAAGAAACCUGUUCUUCUUAAGUUUGUUUGGGUUUUCCAAAAGAAUUGCAAUUUAAUCCCUCAAUUUCUGUCUAAUUUCAUUGUGGCUCAAAAUCUGGAAAAACCAAACUAAUUUUGUCCUCUUAAGCUUAAUCCUCUGUUUGCAUAUUUUAUGUGAUUUUCUGGAUAGAUUAAUGCUGGGGUUUGAUGCAUAAUCAGAGUUUAGCAAGUUUAGUUGGGUUUAUUUUGGUGGACUUUAUUAAAUGAAAUUAGACUUGGUUUGGACCUUUCGGUUGGGCUAGGAAGGCUUUGGCCCAAACAAAUAAUAAAGUGGCCCAAUGAUCUGAUCCAUUAAGAAACCAGAAUUCGAAUUUGCAUAUCAGCCCCCGUACU
Molecule: long non-coding RNA, 4725 nt
Filed under: Coffea arabica (coffee)
Lineage: Eukaryota; Viridiplantae; Streptophyta; Magnoliopsida; Gentianales; Rubiaceae
Description: long non-coding RNA (CARA_LNC002844)
Source: RNAcentral